AACGAACGCUGGCGGCAGGCUUAACACAUGCAAGUCGAGCGCCUCGCAAGAGGAGCGGCAGACGGGUGAGUAACGCGUGGGAACGUACCCUUAUCUUCGGAAUAGCUCUGGGAAACUGGAAGUAAUACCGAAUGUGCCCUUAGGGGGAAAGAUUUAUCGGAUAAGGAUCGGCCCGCGUUGGAUUAGCUAGUUGGUGGGGUAAAGGCCUACCAAGGCGACGAUCCAUAGCUGGUCUGAGAGGAUGAUCAGCCACAUUGGGACUGAGACACGGCCCAAACUCCUACGGGAGGCAGCAGUGGGGAAUAUUGGACAAUGGGCGCAAGCCUGAUCCAGCCAGGCCGCGUGAGUGAUGAAGGCCUUAGGGUUGUAAAGCUCUUUCACCGGAGAAGAUAAUGACGGUAUCCGGAGAAGAAGCCCCGGCUAACUUCGUG
Molecule: ribosomal RNA, 431 nt
Filed under: uncultured bacterium
Lineage: Bacteria
Description: partial 16S ribosomal RNA
Rfam family: Bacterial small subunit ribosomal RNA
Source: RNAcentral